AAGAAAAAAGAAAAAAGAAAAAAAGAAGAAGAAGAAGAAGAAAAGGAGAAGCUGUGGGAAGAAGAGAGAUUGUUGAAGAAGACGAGGCGAUGGGAUUGGCCGGUUUCUGCAACUCCAUCACCGAUCCCAAAAGAAAUUGGAAUAUCAUACUUGCCAAACCCCCCAGAUGGUGUCUGCUAUAUUGAGAUGGGGAAACUAGUGUGAAGAUCAGAAAGGCAUUUGAAAAGACUUGGGAUUGUUUAACUCCAGAGAAAGUGUGAAUUUUGGUUGGCAAGGAGAGCAAGUUACCUUCAUGCAUGCCUAAUGUGUGCUCACUUUGCAAAGGAAUAGGUAAUUUUGCUUGUCGUUUUGUACUUUAUUCUCAAUUGAUCAAUAUCUUUGACCUCUCAAAAAUUAAGAUUCUUCUAUUUAUUAGUCGUGUAGUCAGCUUCAAAAACUGUUAUUAUAGCCUAUGUGACAUUUGCAUUUGAUUUUGCAAAUGGGCUGGAAGAAUGCAGCAUACAAUUACUUUGUUACUUCCCCUGUAUAGCAUGUAGCACAGUUAACUAGUUACAUAUC
Molecule: long non-coding RNA, 558 nt
Organism: Ziziphus jujuba (common jujube)
Lineage: Eukaryota; Viridiplantae; Streptophyta; Magnoliopsida; Rosales; Rhamnaceae
Exons: 3
Source: RefSeq, a predicted model, not a curated record